AACGAACGCUGGCGGCAUGCCUAACACAUGCAAGUCGAACGAAGGCUUCGGCCUUAGUGGCGCACGGGUGCGUAACGCGUGGGAAUCUGCCCUUGGGUUCGGAAUAACAGUUAGAAAUGACUGCUAAUACCGGAUGAUGUCGUAAGACCAAAGAUUUAUCGCCUAGGGAUGAGCCCGCGUAAGAUUAGGUAGUUGGUGGGGUAAAGGCCUACCAAGCCGACGAUCUUUAGCUGGUCUGAGAGGAUGAUCAGCCACACUGGGACUGAGACACGGCCCAGACUCCUACGGGAGGCAGCAGUGGGGAAUAUUGCGCAAUGGGCGAAAGCCUGACGCAGCCAUACCGCGUGUGUGAAGAAGGCCUCGGUUGUAAG
RNAcentral lists this ribosomal RNA (371 nucleotides) under uncultured bacterium. Its description in RNAcentral is "bacterial SSU rRNA". It matches the Rfam family "Bacterial small subunit ribosomal RNA", at positions 29 to 429 of the family's 1533-position model. The record is from RNAcentral.